This 764-nucleotide ribosomal RNA is filed under the name Thryssa setirostris (longjaw thryssa). RNAcentral describes it as "partial 16S ribosomal RNA". The stretch from base 1 to 506 matches the Rfam family "Bacterial large subunit ribosomal RNA", at positions 585 to 1301 of the family's 2925-position model. Lineage: Eukaryota; Metazoa; Chordata; Actinopteri; Clupeiformes; Engraulidae. The record is from RNAcentral.
GCAGAGAAUACCACUCGUACCUUUUGCAUCAUGAUUCAGCCAGUAAAAACAUGCGAAGAGACCUCUAGUUUGUAACCCCGAAAUCCGACGAGCUACUCCGGGACAGCCUAUCUAGGGCCAACCCGUCUCUGUGGCAAAAGAGUGGGAAGAUCCCCGAGUAGAGGCAAAAGACCUACCGAGUCCGAUUAUAGCUGGUUGCCCAAUAAAUGAAUAUAAGUUCAGCCCCGCAAAGCCCCAUUCACACUAGUCCUACUACAAAAGAUGAAGAGCCAUUAACGGGAGUUAGUCAGAAGAGGUACAGCUCUUCUGACAAAGGACACAACCUUGAGAGAAGAUUAAGGAAUAAAAUUAAACAAGGCCACAAAUCUCAGUGGGCCUGAAAGCAGCCACCUGAAUAGAAAGCGUUAAAGCUCAGACUAACCCCACGCCCCUUAUCAGAUUAAAUAAUCCAAAAUCUCUAUAACCACUGGGCCUCUCUAUGCACCCAUAGAAGAGAUCAUGCUGAAACGAGUAACAAGAAGAUCGAGCUUCUCCCAGCACAAAUGUAAGUCGGAUCGGACCCCCCACCGACAAUUAACGAACCCAAAAACAGAGGGCACCGCACCAUCACCACUCCUGGUCAAGAAAACCACGUCCCAUUAAUCGUUACCCCCACACAGGAGUGCUAGACCAAGGAAAGACUAAAAGAAAAAAAAGGAACUCGGCAAACCAAAACCCCGCCUGUUUACCAAAAACAUCGCCUCUUGCCACUACUAGCAUAAGAG